UUGGAGGGCAAGUCUGGUGCCAGCAGCCGCGGUAAUUCCAGCUCCAAUAGCGUAUAUUAAAGUUGUUGCAGUUAAAAAGCUCGUAGUUGAAUUUCGGGAUCAAUAUUUCGGUCAUGCCGUUGGUAUGCACUGUUAUCAUUGAUUUCACACCUUCUAAAGAACCGUAAUGCCAUUAAUUUGGUGUUACGGGGAAUUAGGACUGUUACCUUGAAAAAAUUAGAGUGUUUAAAGCAGGCUCACGCUUGAAUACAUUAGCAUGGAAUAAUGAAAUAGGACGUUUGAUUCUAUUUUGCUGGUUUCUAGGAUCGACGUAAUGAUUAAUAGGGAUAGUUGGGGGCAUUAGUAUUCAAUUGUCAGAGGUGAAAUUCUUGGAUUUAUUGAAGACUAACUACUGCGAAAGCAUUCGCCAAGGAUGUUUUCAUUAAUCAAGAACGAAAGUUAGGGGAUCGAAGACGAUCAGAUACCGUCGUAGUCUUAACCAUAAACUAUGCCGACUAGGGAUCGGACGAAGUUAAUUUUAUAAUGACGCGUUCGGCACCUUACGGGAAACCAAAGUGUUUGGGUUC
RNAcentral lists this ribosomal RNA (566 nucleotides) under uncultured Glomeromycotina. RNAcentral describes it as "SSU rRNA". It matches the Rfam family "Eukaryotic small subunit ribosomal RNA", at positions 548 to 1114 of the family's 1831-position model. Lineage: Eukaryota; Fungi; Glomeromycota. The record is from RNAcentral.